RNAcentral lists this ribosomal RNA (205 nucleotides) under Clostridioides difficile. RNAcentral describes it as "partial 23S ribosomal RNA". It matches the Rfam family "Bacterial large subunit ribosomal RNA", at positions 1434 to 1636 of the family's 2925-position model. Lineage: Bacteria; Bacillati; Bacillota; Clostridia; Peptostreptococcales; Peptostreptococcaceae. The record is from RNAcentral.
UAUUCCUGUACUACCGAUAACCGUUUGAGAGAAGGGAUGACACAGUAGGAUAAGCUAAGCACACUGUUGGUUAUGUGUGCCCAAGCAUUGAGGCAGUCAAAGCAGGCAAAUCCGCUUUGAUAAUGCUGGGAUGUGAUGGGGAGCGAAAUUUAGUAGCGAAGUAGCUGAUUUCACACUGUCAAGAAAAGUCUCUAUCGAGGUUAAA